AUAGAGUACAAUGUGGAGCAUUCAGUGGACUAUGUGGAGAGGGCCGUGUCAGACACUAAGAAGGCUGUUAAAUACCAGAGUAAAGCCCGGCGGAAGAAAAUUCUGAUCAUUAUUUGCUGUGUAAUUCUGGGAAUCGUCAUUGCUUCUACAAUUGGAGGAUACUUAGGUAUAGCCUGAGACACACACCGAAGGUCAUGUCAGGAGCCACACACACACACACACAUACAGGUCUACAAGUGG
Long non-coding RNA from Oncorhynchus masou masou (cherry salmon), 240 nucleotides. RefSeq lists it as uncharacterized. The record is from RefSeq and is a predicted model, not a curated record. Lineage: Eukaryota; Metazoa; Chordata; Actinopteri; Salmoniformes; Salmonidae. The transcript has 3 exons.